RNAcentral lists this unclassified non-coding RNA (250 nucleotides) under plant metagenome. RNAcentral's name for it is "partial contains small subunit ribosomal RNA, internal transcribed spacer 1, and 5.8S ribosomal RNA". The stretch from base 167 to 250 matches the Rfam family "5.8S ribosomal RNA", at positions 1 to 56 of the family's 154-position model. The record is from RNAcentral.
GUAGGUGAACCUGCGGAAGGAUCAUUACUAGUUUAGGGUGCUGAUCCAGCGCCCAAACUUCAACCCUUUGACUUGAUUAAUUUGUUUCUUUGCCGGUUUUGGCCGGCAGAAGUUUUCUCAAACCCAUUAGAAAUUUGUCCUCUGAACUUCAAAAAAUAAUAAUUAAAACUUUCAACAACGGAUCUCUUGGUUCUGGCAUCGAUGAAGAACGCAGCAUCUGACUGACUUGGGAUGCAUGCAUCUCGUAUGC